Molecule: ribosomal RNA, 348 nt
Filed under: Triticum aestivum (bread wheat)
Lineage: Eukaryota; Viridiplantae; Streptophyta; Magnoliopsida; Poales; Poaceae
Description: partial small subunit ribosomal RNA
Source: RNAcentral
AUGUCGCGGCUUGUGUCCUCCGUGUUCUCCCAGUCGAACGAGCGGAACUUCUCCGACGGCUUGAUGACCUGCUUCUUGGGCUUCUUACACCCCAGGUACUGCUCCUUGAUCGCCUCCAGCUCCUUCUCGCGCUCCCGCUCCGCCAUCCUCUCCAGCCGAUCUUUCUCCCUGUUCCGGUCCCCGCGCUCCCCGUCUCGGUCCUGCUCCCGCUCCCUGUGGCGGUCGCGGCCGGGGCCUCGCUCCCUGAUCCCCUCCCUACCCCUCUCCCGGCAGGAAGAGUCAUAUCGGUCGCGGUGGAGGUCGUGGCAGCGGCCUCUGUCCCGAUCCCGAUCGGAAGAGUCGCGAUAG